GUUAUGUAAAGAACCCGUUACAUACUUGAUGCCAACCUCCUUCAUUGCCCAUCAACUCACUGACGGAACUGGCAUGUAGAGAACAUAACCCAUGGUGAAAAUAAAACUGAGACUUGCAAAUGGGAGAGGGUCGGAGUUUGGCUUGAGCUAAGCAAGGGGAAGAAAGAUGUUUCUGAAACACAAACAAUUACCUACAGAAAAAAUAAGAAACUACUGCUGUGGCAGGAAAAAAAGAUCCGGAUAGUUCUCCAGCUAAUUAGCUAGAAAGAAGUGUGUGCUGAAUCUCUCUCCAACUUUGCCAGCUCCCAUGUUUGAAGUGCAAGUCUCAAGAUGUGCCAGAAGCAUCAUCCUAUUACUAAUGAGUUGAAAUAGACAGCAGGAAAUGCAGGUCCCUUCCUAGCGUUGCCAGAAUGCAUCUCUGUGUGUAUCCAGCAAUUUGGGUGAUAUGUUGACAGAAUGAGGCCAGCGAUGCAAAUAAAGGAAUUUCCCCCCCUCUCUCCUUGCAUAUUACUGAAGCAUGGCUCAGGGUCUUCAACUAAGUUGCUCUGAUCCACAUCCUGAAGAUAAGUGAAGCAGUAUAUCAGUGAAGAUGAUAAGAAUGGAGAAGGUCAGGACUAAAUAAGGUAAUAUUUUUCAGAUCACCAAAUAAGGAAUGGAUUAAAACAAUUAGUAAUGUUAAAUUAUAGUCUACCAUACUUCUUGAAUUCUGUUAUGCAGAGGUUAAAUUGCAUCUCUGUAGACCAUUUACCAAAACAAAACUUCAGAUGAGAAUCUUCAUUUAUGUAAAACCAAACCAAAACAAUCAACCCCUCACCCAAAUUACACUAUGCAGAAUAUAUUUCUUCUGGUAUUAGUAAACUCUAAAAUGAGCAUUGAAUUAAUUCCAUCAACUCUGCCUUUCCCAAAAAUGCUGAGAAGAAAUGAAGAGUGCUAACAAAUCAAGUAGAUAUAUGCGUCACUAAUCCAUACAGAUCAGCUGUCCUUGAAAAGUAAAUUCUGGAAAGGGACCUGCACUUUCAAAGAUUAAUACAGCUUCUGCCAACUGGUGUACCUGCACUCGACUUAUUUAAAGAUUAACUGUAAACUUCAGAAAUGAAAGAGAAAGAUGUGAUGCCAGCAAGCAUAAAUACAGGAAGACAUUAGAUAUUUUUUCUUUUUUUUUUGGAAAUUAUGAAAUUCAAUAUGACAUAUAGAUGUGUGAGCUCUUCACUUACUGGCUACUACCUGAAACCUUUGCUAAAGUAGACAUUGUUUUUCUUUGAAAAAGAAAAGAAGACAAUUGUAUUCUUAUUCAGUACUAUGAAAUGGAAUCAUCAAGAAUUAGAAAACCUUCAAUACUGUAUUUCUGAAUUAGUGGUCUGGAAUGAGUUUUGUUCAUCACUGAGAUUGCAUUAGUUAGAAAGAAUAGGAUCUGUCAAACACUAUAGGGAAUCUGCACUUGGGGCUUCUGUUACCAGAUGAAAAUGUUGUGCCCACGAAAUAAAAAGUACUGGUGCAGUGUUCAGAAUUUUUCAGGGUUAACUUUUUACUCAACAAAUGACAAAGAAGGUAUUAGACUACACAGUUUGCCUAUCCAGUGUCCUUGCAGAGAUAGUGUAAGACCAUCAAACACGUCCUAUUCUUUGGAUAAUUUGAAAGAAAUGCAUUCAUAUUUCCAUACCUGUUUCAGAUCAACUUUGUACUUCUGAGUAAUGCCCAGAUCUGAUCAAUAUUAAUGAUUAGGAAGCCACAAUAUCAGAAAAGGU
Molecule: long non-coding RNA, 1745 nt
Organism: Cuculus canorus (common cuckoo)
Lineage: Eukaryota; Metazoa; Chordata; Aves; Cuculiformes; Cuculidae
Exons: 5
Source: RefSeq, a predicted model, not a curated record